UCUCCGUAGGUGAACCUGCGGAGGGAUCAUUACAGAGUUCUCGCCCUCACGGGUAGAUCUCCCACCCACUGUCAUCGUUACUGUCGUUGCUUUGGCGGGCCGCCGGGUCCCCGGCCGCCGGCGCCUAGCUGCCGGCGCGCGCCCGCCAGAGGCCUUCAAACUCUGAAUGUUAGUGUCGUCUGAGUACUAUAUAAUAGUUAAAACUUUCAACAACGGAUCUCUUGGUUCUG
RNAcentral lists this unclassified non-coding RNA (230 nucleotides) under plant metagenome. RNAcentral's name for it is "partial contains small subunit ribosomal RNA, internal transcribed spacer 1, and 5.8S ribosomal RNA". The record is from RNAcentral.